GGAGUCGGAGUUGUUUUGGGGAAUGCAGCUCCAAAAAUGGGUUGGUAAAAUUUCAUCUUAAAAGCUUAAAUAUUGGCCAGAAGACCGAUAAGCGCCACAAAGUAGAAGUGAUCCGAAAGAUGGAAAAGCCACUUUGGAAAGAGAGUCCAAACAAGUACGUGAAAAUUGUUUGGAAAGGGAGCGCGCUUGCAAACCAAGACCUUGGCCCGUGGGGUGAUUAAGCCCGGGUAUUUCUUACCGGUGCACUCACCCGCGGUCAGGCCAGCAUCGGUUUGGGUGGCUGGAUAAAGUCCACCGGAAUGUAGCUCCUCUCGGGGAGUGUUAUAGCCGGAGGUGCCAUGCAGCCCGCCUGGACCGAGGACCGCGCUUCGGCUAGGAUGCUGGCGUAAUGGUCGUAAGCGACCCGUCUGGAACCCCGGACCAAGGAGUCUAACAUCUAUGCGAGUGUUUGGGUGUCAAACCCAUGCGCGUAAUGAAAGUGAACGGAGGUGGGAACCCUUAAGGGUGCACCAUCGACCGAUCCUGAUGUCUUCGGAUGGAUUUGAGUAAGAGCAUAGCUGUUGGGACCCGAAAGAUGGUGAACUAUGCCUGAAUAGGGUGAAGCCAGAGGAAACUCUGGUGGAGGCUCGCAGCGGUUCUGACGUGCAAAUCGAUC
Molecule: ribosomal RNA, 655 nt
Filed under: Acarospora sp. JA-2019g
Lineage: Eukaryota; Fungi; Ascomycota; Lecanoromycetes; Acarosporales; Acarosporaceae
Description: partial large subunit ribosomal RNA
Rfam family: Eukaryotic large subunit ribosomal RNA
Source: RNAcentral